This 174-nucleotide unclassified non-coding RNA is filed under the name soil metagenome. RNAcentral describes it as "partial internal transcribed spacer 1". The record is from RNAcentral.
UUAAUUCUUCUAGUUAAGCGGCUGCGCGUUAAAAAACGUGGCUGUUUUUCUUGUGAACUGGGGCUGCUAGUUAAGUUUAAACGCUUUUCUAACAGCCUGUCGUUAAUGCUCUUGUGUUAAUUUUUUGUUUUUGCUUUUUUUAAGCUUAACCGCUUGGAAAAAAUAAUUACAAGA